UAAGGAAUAUUGGACAAUGGACGCAAGUCUGAUCCAGCCAUGCCGCGUGAAGGAUGAAUGCCCUCUGGGUUGUAAACUUCUUUUAUAGGGGAAGAAAGAUACUUCCUUUAAGGUAGUUGACGGUACCCUAUGAAUAAGCACCGGCUAACUCCGUGCCAGCAGCCGCGGUAAUACGGAGGGUGCAAGCGUUAUCCGGAUUUACUGGGUUUAAAGGGUGCGUAGGCGGGCAUGUAAGUCAGUGGUGAAAUACCGGAGCUCAACUUCGGAACUGCCAUUGAUACUAUAUGUCUUGAAUAUUGUGGAGGUAAGCGGAAUAUGUCAUGUAGCGGUGAAAUGCAUAGAUAUGACAUAGAACACCGAUUGCGGAGGCAGCUUGCUACGCAAAUAUUGACGCUGAGGCACGAAAGCGUGGGGACCAAACA
RNAcentral lists this ribosomal RNA (422 nucleotides) under uncultured bacterium. Its description in RNAcentral is "bacterial SSU rRNA". It matches the Rfam family "Bacterial small subunit ribosomal RNA", at positions 355 to 774 of the family's 1533-position model. The record is from RNAcentral.